GACGAACGCUGGCGGCGUGCUUAAUACAUGCAUGUCGAACGGAAAGGCCCUGCUUUUUUUGCGUGCUCGAUUGGCUAACGUUUAGGUAACACGUGAGUAGCCUGCUUUUGACUUUGGGAUAAUUUCUGGAAACUUUGUCUAAUACCGGAUAUGUGCAUCUUCUGCAUCUUGGGAGUUGCCAAGUUUCUGCGGUUUGGGAUGGACUCGCGGCUUAUCAGUUUGUUGGUGGGGUAGUGUCUUACCAAGGCUUUGACGGGUAGCCGGCCUGAGAGGGUAUCCGGCCACAUUGGGACUGAGAUAAGACCCAGAAUCCUGCGGGAGGCAGCAGUGGGGAAUAUUGCACAAUGGGCGGAAGCCUGAUGCAGCAACGCCGCGAGGGAGAUGACAGCCUUCGGGUUGUAAACCGCUUUCGCAUGUGACGAAGCGUGGGUGACGGUAAUGGGUAAAGAAGCACCGGCUAACUACGUG
Molecule: ribosomal RNA, 468 nt
Filed under: uncultured bacterium
Lineage: Bacteria
Description: partial 16S ribosomal RNA
Rfam family: Bacterial small subunit ribosomal RNA
Source: RNAcentral